This 1029-nucleotide long non-coding RNA is filed under the name Anas platyrhynchos platyrhynchos (common mallard). RNAcentral's name for it is "lncRNA (ENSAPLG00000029975.1)". The record is from RNAcentral. Lineage: Eukaryota; Metazoa; Chordata; Aves; Anseriformes; Anatidae.
AUGGGGACACAACUCCCCAAAAACACCGGGGCUGGGGCUCUUGGCGCGUUUCUCCCAACCCGCUUUCGCCCGGAGCGCGUGGCCGGCGUCUUUCAUCGGCGUCGUCGGCGGGGCGGCGGGGUGGCUCAUCCUUUUUCCCCCCCCCUCUGGAACAAAGGGCGCUUUCUUCGCGCGGGGCACAGCACACCUGCCCUCCUUGGCACGGCCCCGCACCGUGCCGCCGCCGGUGCCCGCGGGGCUGGGCGUCCCGCCGGCAUUCCCGGGCGUCUCCAGCAACCCCAGCUCCUCGCCUCGCCCUCCCCAGUCGCUGCGGGAGCCCGCCGAGGCUGCACGCUCUCCCGGCACCUCCGUCGCCUCGCUUUUCACCCCAAAAAUGCCCGAGGCUGCUUAGAGCCGGGGCGCCCUCCCUCUUGCCCUCUCCGUCGCCGUCGCCGCCGUCGUCGUCGUCGCUUCCCGGGUGCCCCCCGUGCGCCGCCGCCCGCCCGUCCCCACUCAAAGGCUGUUGGGAAGGAGGAGCACGGAGCCCCCCAGGCCAAUGGAUCGCAAAAUCCAGCUCCAGCCUUCGGAGAAGAACGUUCCCAGGGCAGCCCAGGCGGUUUUCUGCCUCCUUCAGAUCCCGGAGCCAGACCCCUUCAGUCUGUGGGUUUAGGCGCGACGCCUCGCCGCCACCCGCUGCCGGUGCCGUGCCGCUCGCCGCGUGUGUCCCCCCCACCUCCCCGGUGCCUGGGGGGGGGUGGCGUGUCCCCCCCCAAAUGGACCGAGCCUGUGCUGUGCCAGGUAGCUCGCCGGGUGCCUCGGGGAUGCUCCCCUGGGGACAAAAAAGGGGAGCCCCGAGGAGCUUGGGGACGCCGUGCGGUGGUUUUGGGGUGCUGGGAGGGAGCGGUGCUGGGGUCACGGUGCGGGGUUGGGGAGGGGAGGGGAGGUGGCUCCGGGUUCCCCGUGCCCCGUUCCGGCUCCGUGCCCCCAGCGGGGGCUUGGGCAGCAGCAGGGGACGGGGACUUUGCUCCGCUCUGUGUGCACGGGACGUGA